GGCUCCAGCCACCACCCACCGCGACUCGCCCCCGACCACCACCUAUCGCGACCGGCCACCGGCCACCACACACUGCGACCUGCCCCCAGCCACCACCUACCUCGCCUGCCCCGGCCACCGCCUGCCCCGCUCCACUCCGUCCGACCGACGCGCCUCCUCUCUAUCACCCAUGGUGCCACCCCUCCCCUGACCCGCUGCUAGAUGGGAUCCGGGCCAAAUCCAGGCCGCGGCGGCCCUCCCGCGACGCCCAGCCGCUUGAUCCAGGCCGCGCCGGCCCUCCCGCGGCGCGCUGCCGCCGGAUCCAGGCCGCGCCGACUCUCCAGCGCCCCCCUGCCGCCGUCUUUAGGCUGCGGGCACCCCUUCCUUCCCUCCCCAGCCGGUAACCUGCAGGACGCCCCUCCCCUGUCCCUGCAAAACUCCCUCCAGCGGGCCUCCUCUCCCUGCAAAACUCCCUCCGGCAAGGCCUAGUGCACAUCCAUCCCGGCGGCUCACGUGCAGUUCGGCCAACGAUGGCGUGUGGUACGGCGUGCGACGACAUGCAGUUCUCAACCUUCCCCACAGUACACGAGAAGAGCCCCUGAUGGUGCCAGGCUGACGGCUGGACGAGAGGAGGUGCUAUCCUUCCAUGGCGCAUCCAUGGCGGCUCACCCCCGUGUCAACGAGAUUUCUCAUUUGCUUCACUGAUUUUGUGUUUUUCUAAAGAAAAAAAAAUCAAAGUGCAAUGUAGUCCGCUGUUAUUUGCUCUUGAGAUCCAGCUUGCUUAUUUUUACAGGAAGAAAAGCGACGCAGUUCGGUUGAAUGUCGUGUUGCAUUUUUUUUGUAGUUUCCUCAUGCAGUUUGGAGCGAGCCUCCCUCUCGUGAAGUUCUUCGGCGCGUCCAUGCAGCACGGCAAGUGAGUGUGUGCAGUCCACAACACUUGGGUUGCUUUGUGGCCGUCGUGCAAUGCCCAUGCUACUCCCCCUUGGGGAGCUUUGUGUUUUUUUCAUGCAAUGUGGUUGUGUGAAUCAUGAAGUUCGUUUCUGAUUUGUGCGUGCGUAUGUUUUUUGGUGUGAGUUCCCACAGUUUGAAAAAAUAUGCAAUGCAGUGUGGAACAAAAA
Triticum dicoccoides is the source of this 1097-nucleotide long non-coding RNA. RefSeq lists it as uncharacterized. The transcript has 2 exons. The record is from RefSeq and is a predicted model, not a curated record. Lineage: Eukaryota; Viridiplantae; Streptophyta; Magnoliopsida; Poales; Poaceae.